Molecule: ribosomal RNA, 253 nt
Filed under: uncultured bacterium
Lineage: Bacteria
Description: partial 16S ribosomal RNA
Rfam family: Bacterial small subunit ribosomal RNA
Source: RNAcentral
UACAGAGGUCCCGAGCGUUGUUCGGAUUCACUGGGCGUAAAGAGUGUGUAGGUGGUGUCGUAAGUUUGGUGUGAAAUCUCCCGGCUUAACUGGGAGGGUGCGCCGAAGACUGCGAUGCUGGAGUAUGGGAGAGGAAAGCGGAAUUCCUGGUGUAGCGGUGAAAUGCGUAGAUAUCAGGAGGAACACCUGCGGUGUAGACGGCUUUCUGGACCAUUACUGACACUGAGACACGAAAGCGUGGGUAGCAAACAGG